RNAcentral lists this transfer RNA (93 nucleotides) under Plocamiocolax pulvinatus. RNAcentral describes it as "Plocamiocolax pulvinata tRNA-Ser". It matches the Rfam family "tRNA". From Rfam's summary of the family: Transfer RNA (tRNA) molecules are approximately 80 nucleotides in length. Lineage: Eukaryota; Rhodophyta; Florideophyceae; Plocamiales; Plocamiaceae. The record is from RNAcentral.
GAGAGAUGGCUGAGUGGUUUAAAGCAACGAUUUGCUAAAUCGUAACAUUAACAUUAUAUUUAAAUGUCAUGGGUUCAAAUCCCAUUCUUUCUA